GCCGAGGGUGGGGGGUGCGGGAAGUAGGGGAUGACAUUUGGUCGUGCUGAGGAUGAACUAAAUUAUGGGAUCUCCUGAGAGACCAGCACAUUGUGUUCUGCUGGAAAGCCAGGAUGGUUUGCAGCCAGAUUCAAGCACCAGUAGUGGAAAACAGAGCUCGGGUGGCACUCAGGGAAGCUCGUCGACCCACUUCUCGGGGGCCGAGUCUCCGGUACCGGCGGAUGAGUCUGGCGCGAGCCCGUCAUCACCCGGUGCCGACGGGCCUUGGGUCGGC
Long non-coding RNA from Pollicipes pollicipes, 274 nucleotides. RefSeq lists it as uncharacterized. NCBI's taxonomy places the organism in Eukaryota, Metazoa, Arthropoda, Thecostraca, Pollicipedomorpha, Pollicipedidae. The record is from RefSeq and is a predicted model, not a curated record. The transcript has 3 exons.